UGGUUGUUGACAUAUUUCGACUUCGUUGUGAUUUGGAUUUGGGUCACAUAAAUGCGCACCCGAAUUUAGGAAGGUAAAUCAUUAAAAAACGUACCUAAAGAGACUAUCGCGUUAUUAUACUUGGGGAAGGCCGUGAAAUUCACUAAACGGCCCAUCCCGAAGUCUAAAUAUUUUUAGUAUAAACAUUUAUCGAGGGCCCUGCCAUUUAUUUAUUUUGUUUAGCGAGGCUCAUCUCGUUUUAUUAAUAAAAGACAAACUUAAAGCAAUCUAUAAUUUUCUAUUUUAAUUUGUCUUUAAAAAUAAAAGAAAAAGUACUAAUUAAUCAUUGUCUAAAAUUAUCACGAAUUUUGACCCUUAACCAGAUCGGGCCUUGAACAUAACUUAUUUAGAGAAAUCGUUAUACCCAUAUGCAUAAAGACAAAACAGAACAAGCUUGGCCCAGGUCCAAGCGUGAAAGAAAUUAGAAUCGGACCUGGGCCUUCGUAUCAAAGCCUGAAUCCCAGACAUCUUGAGAAUAGGCUGUUGGGCCUUAGUCUUUUAAACUAAAUUUAAUUGCAACAACCAGCAAAUGAUGUUUUCUAUCUAACUUCAAAUAUUAUUCGAACUAACAGCUUUAAUUUCACAAUUACACUUUCCUUUUCUUUAAAUCGAUGCAGUACUUCUUUAACUAGCAAUUAGUGUAAGAAUUAACACUCAGAACUGGUCGACCAUAAUCCAGAUAAUCACAUUACGGUCCAGAUUAGUUUAACAAUCUAAUAAGCUCAUUUUGAAUUAUGGAAAUCAAACAGUGGGUGAUAAUUUGCAAAUUAUCAUAAGCUAUAGCCAAUAUCCACUACACAGCCCAGUUCAAGUUGGAUAUGAGUUUAAACUACACUAUUCUAAUAACAUGAACUAACAAAGAUAAAAACUACUAACUAUGAAACUCACACAUGAAUGCAUCUAAUGGUUUAACAGUCCAAAGCAUCACUUAUACAGUCCAUGCUUACCUAUUGUUCUUAUAAUGCAAAACAAGUGACUAAGCAUCAACUACAUUCACUAACAACUCGAAUUAUAAACAAUAGACAACAUCCAAAUGAGCUCAAAUCUGGUGAGCAAUUUCAAAUUUGACUUCAACUCAAAGUUACAUCGAAGUAAUUCACAGAAGUGUACCUGGAAGUGGAAAACAAUGAAGAAGAAGAGAAGAUCAACAACGAGUAACAAACAACUAGUACCCAGUAGUCAUAAACAGCAACCUAAACACAGUUGAUCUCAGCCCAGAAAUAACCCAAUGAUCCCAAAAGUAUUUUUAAACCAAACGAAACUGAAUAUCAGCUUCUAAACAACACCAAAUGGUCCAGAAAUGAACACAGGAGGUCAAUACUCAAGAACCACAGUUGGCUCAAAUUAGCCAAAUCCAAUACCUAGAAGACUCGAACUGCUUUAAAAUACCAAAUAUCGAACAGAAUAAGGAAAUUCAAAUAGCUUUUAUCCUAAACGAGCUAGAAACUAGAAGUAAAUGAUGGAAUCUAAUGUAACAGUCCUUUUUUUUUUGCUAUAUUUUCUUUUGUUUUUGGUGUUUUCUUUUGAAAAUGCUAAGAUCCGAGGAGAUUUUGAUAUGAAAUUUUGAAUUUUAGAUCUGUUCAGCUUGAAGAUAUUUUGGGAGGAAUUUGAGGGUUGAAAAUUUGUGAAUAAAGUAAAGGUCAUGCCCUCUUGUAGGUACAAAUGAGGCCUAUCAGAUUUUCAGUUUUUCCUUUUAGUCCUUAUUCACUUUCAGCUUUACUCCCCUAUUUAUUAACUUGUUACACAAGUUAGCACCCACAACUUCUUAAAAUUAAAAUUAAGUUCCUAUUCUAGCAUAUUCUAGGGUGUUCUAAUCAGUUACUACAAUAUUUUUAUUGUUAAAAAUGCCUAAACUACCUCUUAUCUAUCUGAAAUUACUCAAACUGUCCCCAUCCACUUCAACUCAAUUAAUAAAUUUCAAUAGCUCUAAGAUUAAAUCCCAAAUGAAAUUAUUCUGAAAAUUACCUUAAUUCACACUACUUGUUAAUUAUCCAUCAAUUAACAACCGACUAAAUCAUUUUUAACCUAAACUAAACUAUACAGUCAAAGAACAAGAAUGGACAUUUAGACUAAAUAAUCCGCGGACAUUAACAGAAUUAAUCACAACUAAGAACAUACUCACAUUAACAAAACUAAACAAAAUAACAACAUCAAUCAGUCAUGAAAGUUAAUCUCAGGAGAAAAGAAAUUACUGAAUUAGGAUGAACAAAUAGCCGACUGAUAACACAAAAAAUUAUAAGUGAAAAAUAAAACAAAGGAGUUCAAAUAAAUGAAUAAGAGGGUAAACUUGUAAGAACAAAAUAAAAAUAAGAAAAACUCACUGGAAAAUUUCAGAUUCAAAAUUCGGCUGAUUCCGAUGAGGUUCGAGGGCCAAUAGUAUUGAAUUCAUCAUGAGGGAAGCGGGGAAGCCCUGUGGUAUUAAUUUGGUAAGAAUUGGAGAAAUUACGAUUUUGGCCGGAAAGUUUAAAAUUAAUAUUCGAACGGUUCCGGCCAUAUUCAAGGGGUGAUUACUAGGUCAUUGGAAAGAGGGAACGAAGGAGAUUCACCGGUGUAAUUUAGGGUGAUUUAGAUGAGGUUGUGUCAUGGCCGGGAAAACUUCGAUCUAAUAUUCAAAGCUUUCGGGUAGGAUUCGAGGGAAGUGGGUGAUGGAUGCGAAUAGAGGAAGAGAAUAGGCGUACAUGAUGUUAAUUUGGGUUAAUUUGGCGACGGGCCGCCGUCGUGGGCAAUUUCUGGCGGCGGUCAAUGAUGGUGUUACCCGGGGAUGUAAAUGGGUGUGUUUGGGACGAUGAAAUGGGGUGAGGAGGUAUAAUCCGACCAUUAAAUACUCUUAAG
Molecule: long non-coding RNA, 2871 nt
Filed under: Nicotiana benthamiana
Lineage: Eukaryota; Viridiplantae; Streptophyta; Magnoliopsida; Solanales; Solanaceae
Description: long non-coding RNA (NBEN_LNC017379)
Source: RNAcentral